GAUGAACGCUGGCGGCGUGCCUAAUACAUGCAAGUCGAGCGAACAGACGAGGAGCUUGCUCCUCUGACGUUAGCGGCGGACGGGUGAGUAACACGUGGAUAACCUACCUAUAAGACUGGGAUAACUUCGGGAAACCGGAGCUAAUACCGGAUAAUAUAUUGAACCGCAUGGUUCAAUAGUGAAAGACGGUUUUGCUGUCACUUAUAGAUGGAUCCGCGCCGCAUUAGCUAGUUGGUAAGGUAACGGCUUACCAAGGCAACGAUGCGUAGCCGACCUGAGAGGGUGAUCAGCCACACUGGAACUGAGACACGGUCCAGACUCCUACGGGAGGCAGCAGUAGGGAAUCUUCCGCAAUGGGCGAAAGCCUGACGGAGCAAAGCCGCGUGAGUGAUGAAGGUCUUCGGAUCGUAAAACUCUGUUAUUAGGGAAGAACAAAUGUGUAAGUAACUAUGCACGUCUUGACGGUACCUAAUCAGAAAGCCACGGCUAACUACGUG
This 497-nucleotide ribosomal RNA is filed under the name uncultured bacterium. RNAcentral describes it as "partial 16S ribosomal RNA". It matches the Rfam family "Bacterial small subunit ribosomal RNA", at positions 28 to 507 of the family's 1533-position model. The record is from RNAcentral.